Long non-coding RNA from Mytilus trossulus (common blue mussel), 264 nucleotides. RefSeq lists it as uncharacterized. Lineage: Eukaryota; Metazoa; Mollusca; Bivalvia; Mytilida; Mytilidae. The transcript is spliced from 3 exons. The record is from RefSeq and is a predicted model, not a curated record.
UUCAUCAACGUCCAUGUUUAGCUUGUCACGUCACACUCAUUAUCAUCAGCUGUUGAGCACCUUGUCAAAGAAGUCGGCACAUGGAAAUCACAAUGGAAAGGAGGAUUUUGCAUACAUUUUGAGAAUUUGUAUUCACUGGGUUUUCUACUGCUUCCAAGUGACUUGACAUGUAGGAAGUCUGCAUUAUCAUGAUUUUAAGAUAAAUGAGAAACAAUGGCUACUUCCAAUACAAUAGCACAUUUGAUAAAAUGAAUAAGACACAAG